Molecule: ribosomal RNA, 506 nt
Filed under: uncultured bacterium
Lineage: Bacteria
Description: partial 16S ribosomal RNA
Rfam family: Bacterial small subunit ribosomal RNA
Source: RNAcentral
AGUGAACGCUGGCGGUAGGCCUAACACAUGCAAGUCGAACGGCAGCACAGGAGAGCUUGCUCUCUGGGUGGCGAGUGGCGGACGGGUGAGGAAUACAUCGGAAUCUACUUUUUCGUGGGGGAUAACGUAGGGAAACUUACGCUAAUACCGCAUACGACCUACGGGUGAAAGCAGGGGAUCUUCGGACCUUGCGCGAGUGAAUGAGCCGAUGUCGGAUUAGCUAGUUGGCGGGGUAAAGGCCGACCAAGGCGACGAUCCGUGACUGGUCUGAGAGGAUGAUCAGCCACACUGGAACUGAGACACGGUCCAGACUCCUACGGGAGGCAGCAGUGGGGAAUAUUGGACAAUGGGCGCAAGCCUGAUCCAGCCAUACCGCGUGGGUGAAGAAGGCCUUCGGGUUGUAAAGCCCUUUUGUUGGGAAAGAAAUCCAGCUGGCUAAUACCCGGUUGGGAUGACGGUACCCAAAGAAUAAGCACCGGCUAACUUCGUGCCAGCCGCCGCGGUAA